This 824-nucleotide ribosomal RNA is filed under the name Hirsutella rhossiliensis. RNAcentral's name for it is "eukaryotic LSU rRNA". It matches the Rfam family "Eukaryotic large subunit ribosomal RNA", at positions 482 to 1443 of the family's 3401-position model. Lineage: Eukaryota; Fungi; Ascomycota; Sordariomycetes; Hypocreales; Ophiocordycipitaceae. The record is from RNAcentral.
CGCCCAUGCCCGGGCCAGCAUCAGUUCGCGGCGGGGGACAAAGGCGCCGGGAACGUGGCUCCCCCGGGAGUGUUAUAGCCCGGCGCGCAAUGCCCCGCGGCGGACUGAGGUUCGCGCAUCCGCAAGGAUGCUGGCGUAAUGGUCACCAGUGACCCGUCUUGAAACACGGACCAAGGAGUCGUCCUCGUAUGCGAGUGUUCGGGUGUCAAACCCCUACGCGCAAUGAAAGUGAACGCAGGUGAGAGCCUCACGGCGCAUCAUCGACCGAUCCUGAUGUUCUCGGAUGGAUUUGAGUAAGAGCAUACGGGGCCGGACCCGAAAGAAGGUGAACUAUGCCUGUGUAGGGUGAAGCCAGAGGAAACUCUGGUGGAGGCUCGCAGCGGUUCUGACGUGCAAAUCGAUCGUCAAACAUGGGCAUGGGGGCGAAAGACUAAUCGAACCUUUUGGUCUGGUCACAAGCGCUUCCCUUUCAACAAUUUCACGUACUGUUUAACCCUCUUUUCAAAGUGCUUUUCAUCUUUCGAUCACUCUACUUGUGCGCUAUCGGUCUCUGGCCAGUAUUUAGCUUUAGAAGACAUAUACCUCCCAUUUAGAGCAGCAUUCCCAAACUACUCGACUCGUCGAAGGAGCUUUACAGAGGCUGGGCGUCCGACCAGACGGGGCUCUCACCCUCUAUGGCGUCCCGUUCCAGGGAACUCGGAAGGCGCCGCGCCAAAAGCAUCCUCUGCAAAUUACAACUCGGGCCCCGCGGGGGGGGGCCAGAUUUCAAAUUUGAGCUGUUGCCGCUUCACUCGCCGUUACUGGGGCAAUCCCUGUGUCUAAAG